RNAcentral lists this ribosomal RNA (486 nucleotides) under uncultured bacterium. RNAcentral's name for it is "partial 16S ribosomal RNA". It matches the Rfam family "Bacterial small subunit ribosomal RNA", at positions 28 to 523 of the family's 1533-position model. The record is from RNAcentral.
GACGAACGCUGGCGGCGUGCUUAACACAUGCAAGUCGAACGGUGACCCUCGGAGCUUGCUUCGGGGUGAGCAGUGGCGAACGGGUGAGUAACACGUGAGUAACCUGCCCCUGACUCUGGAAUAAGCGCUGGAAACGGCGUCUAAUACCGGAUACGACACGCCUCCGCAUGGGGAGCGCGUGGAAAGUUUUUCGGUCUGGGAUGGACUCGCGGCCUAUCAGCUUGUUGGUGAGGUAAUGGCUCACCAAGGCGAUGACGGGUAGCCGGCCUGAGAGGGCGAACGGCCACACUGGGACUGAGACACGGCCCAGACUCCUACGGGAGGCAGCAGUGGGGAAUAUUGCACAAUGGGCGAAAGCCUGAUGCAGCGACGCCGCGUGAGGGAUGACGGCCUUCGGGUUGUAAACCUCUUUCAGCAGGGAAGAAGCGAAAGUGACGGUACCUGCAGAAGAAGCACCGGCUAACUACGUGCCAGCAGCCGCAGUAA